GAUGAACGCUAGCGGCAGGCUUAAUACAUGCAAGUCGAGGGGCAGCAGGGGUAGCAAUACCCGCUGGCGACCGGCAAACGGGUGCGGAACACGUACAGAACCUUCCUUUAAGCGGGGGAUAGCCCACUAGAAAUGUGGAUUAAUACCCCACUAGUAAUAUUGUCUGGCAUCAGGUGGUAUUUAAAGUAUUUAUUCACUUAAAGAUGGCUGUGCGGCUGAUUAGGUAGUUGGUGUGGGUAACGGCCCACCAACGCCAGCGAUCAGUAACUGGUGUGAGAGCACGACCA
RNAcentral lists this ribosomal RNA (287 nucleotides) under uncultured bacterium. RNAcentral's name for it is "partial 16S ribosomal RNA". It matches the Rfam family "Bacterial small subunit ribosomal RNA", at positions 28 to 306 of the family's 1533-position model. The record is from RNAcentral.